RNAcentral lists this long non-coding RNA (503 nucleotides) under Danio rerio (zebrafish). Its description in RNAcentral is "si:cabz01015814.1 (ENSDARG00000105672.2)". The record is from RNAcentral. Lineage: Eukaryota; Metazoa; Chordata; Actinopteri; Cypriniformes; Danionidae.
CGUGUCUGUGUUUCGGCCAAGGGUUUGUGUUUUCGGAGCGUAUAAAUCAGUUAAAAACGCUCAGUAAUCGCCUGUUUAUCGUCGAUAAAUCCACCAGAAACACAAAUUCAGCGUCUGUAGGCAAAGAGGAGAGAAACCGAGCCUCCAGAAACUUCGAGUUAAUUCCUGCUUUGCAAACUCAACAAAACCACAGAGAAGCUGCACACUUGUAAAGAUGGCGUUUAUUAAAGAGGAGUGUGAGGACAUCAGGAUUGCAGAUGUUUUCACGCUGGUAAAAGAAGAGCCUGAGGAUCCAAUAGGUUGGUUUUCAUCCUCAUCUCAGUCAUUUCUCUUUACGUUUGGUAUAUUUACACACAUACUUCACCUGCAAUCACAUUUAAAUAAUAUUAAACUCAUGUUUAAAUCACAUUUAAAUGAUAAUAAUGCUUAGCAAAACUACCAAAAAAUGUAAUAAUAAUUAGACUAUAUAUAUAUAUAUAUAUAUAUAUAUAUAUAUAUAUAUA